Molecule: ribosomal RNA, 253 nt
Filed under: uncultured bacterium
Lineage: Bacteria
Description: partial 16S ribosomal RNA
Rfam family: Bacterial small subunit ribosomal RNA
Source: RNAcentral
CACGAGGGGUGCAAGCGUUGUUCGGAAUCACUGGGCGUAAAGGGAGCGUAGGCGGACUAUCAAGUCAGGUGUUUAAUGUAUGGGCCCAACCCAUAUUCGGCAUUUGAAACUGAUAGUCUUGAGUAUGUUAGAGGUAGAUGGAAUUCUUGGUGUAGCGGUGGAAUGCGUAGAUAUCAAGAGGAACACCAAUUGCGAAGGCAGUCUACUGGGACAAUACUGACGCUGAGGCUCGAAAGCGUGGGGAGCAAACAGG